UGUAGCAGUAUAGUUGUAGCAGUAUAGUUGUAGCUGGUUGUAGCAGUAUGGUUGUAGCAGUAUAGUUGUAGCAGUAUAGUUGUAGCAGUAUUGUUGUAGCUGGUUGUAGCAGUAUAGUUGUAGCAGUAUGGUUGUAGCAGUAUAGUUGUAGCAGUAUAGUUGUAGCAGUGUGGUUGUAGCAGUAUAGUUGUAGCAGUAUGGUUGUAGCAGUAUAGUUGUAGCAGUAUUGUUGUAGCUGUAUAGUUGUAGCAGUGUGGUUGUAGCUGGUUGUAGCAGUAUAGUUGUAGCAGUAUUGUUGUAGCAGUGUGGUUCAGUAUAGUUGUAGCAGUAUUGUUGUAGCUGGUUGUAG
Oncorhynchus tshawytscha (Chinook salmon) is the source of this 349-nucleotide long non-coding RNA. NCBI's taxonomy places the organism in Eukaryota, Metazoa, Chordata, Actinopteri, Salmoniformes, Salmonidae. The record is from Ensembl.